Molecule: ribosomal RNA, 374 nt
Filed under: uncultured organism
Description: partial 16S ribosomal RNA
Rfam family: Bacterial small subunit ribosomal RNA
Source: RNAcentral
GUAGGGUCCAAGCGUUUAAUCGGAAUUACUGGGCGUAAAGCGUGCGCAGGCGGUUGUGCAAGACCGAUGUGAAAUCCCCCGGGCUUAACCUGGGAAUUGCAUUGGUGACUGCACGGCUAGAGUGUGUCAGAGGGGGGUAGAAUUCCACGUGUAGCAGUGAAAUGCGUAGAGAUGUGGAGGAAUACCGAUGGCGAAGGCAGCCCCCGUGGGAUAACACUGACGCUCAUGCACGAAAGCGUGGGGGAGCAAACAGGAUUAGAUACCCUGGUAGUCCACGCCCUAAACGAUGUCAACUAGUUGUUGGGGAUUCAUUUCCCUUAGUAACGUAGCUAACGCGUGAAGUUGACCGCCUGGGGAGUACGGUCGCAAGAUUA